This 322-nucleotide small RNA is filed under the name Arabidopsis thaliana (thale cress). Its description in RNAcentral is "ATSL041310". The record is from RNAcentral. Lineage: Eukaryota; Viridiplantae; Streptophyta; Magnoliopsida; Brassicales; Brassicaceae.
AGAUAAAAAACUUGUUCUCGAAAAUGUAAAGUACAUGCUACUUACAGCAAAAUAUUCCGAAACCCUAAUACUCAAAACGACGCAGUAUUGGGACGGAUUAAGAACUGUACUCGACCAAGGUGGUCGAGUGAGAGGUCGAGUGAAUAGCUGGAGUCUUCUUUUCUUCCUUGUGCUCGAGUGUCUGGUUAAGUGCGGAAUGGAGAAGACUUUGAAGCUCGACAUCGAGUAUGUAGUCGAGUGAUGGUGAUGGUGGUAGAGGUGAAGACACUCGACCAGGUGGUCGAGUGAAGUGAUCGAGUGACUCUCGUGGUGGUACUCGGCC